Molecule: long non-coding RNA, 535 nt
Organism: Aedes aegypti (yellow fever mosquito)
Lineage: Eukaryota; Metazoa; Arthropoda; Insecta; Diptera; Culicidae
Exons: 2
Source: RefSeq, a predicted model, not a curated record
GUAAUAAAUAUUUCACGCCUAUCAGAAGUUUGGCAAAAUAAAACUCCGAUCGCCCUUUCUUCUCAUGUUCAUCCGAAAAAAGAGGCAAACGCCGUGUCGACCAGCUACGAUUUUUUCUCUUGUUCGUCCCAGAACACAGGAAGAUAACAGGAGAAAGUGGUGUUUUUAGUUUGAGACUUGGUUUCUUGCGUUAGACAUUGUUAAAGGUACACAAUUCUGGCUUGUUUUGAGUAAUAAAUCAAAAUUAUCUUUUGUCGUCGGUCGAUAGCUUGGUGUGAGAAUAAGAAGAGCCUCAAAGCGAGAGAGAGAGAAUGGAUCCUUCGGAAGAAUCGGAGGCCUGUCGGUUGCGUAAUGCCUUUGGCUUGUCGUCAGACGAGGUGAAAGUUUGUUAUGUAACCACCACACAGAGAAGUAGGCCGAGAUUCCAGGUGGGAUAAGAAUUGUCAGCAAGACUCUUGAGCUAGUAUGGUUUAUGACUUGUUUUAGUUUCAGUUAUUAUUUUUGCAUAAAACUCAUGAUUUUGAAUGAAUUUCAA